This 2904-nucleotide ribosomal RNA is filed under the name Escherichia coli. RNAcentral's name for it is "bacterial LSU rRNA". It matches the Rfam family "Bacterial large subunit ribosomal RNA". Lineage: Bacteria; Pseudomonadati; Pseudomonadota; Gammaproteobacteria; Enterobacterales; Enterobacteriaceae. The record is from RNAcentral.
UUAAGCGACUAAGCGUACACGGUGGAUGCCCUGGCAGUCAGAGGCGAUGAAGGACGUGCUAAUCUGCGAUAAGCGUCGGUAAGGUGAUAUGAACCGUUAUAACCGGCGAUUUCCGAAUGGGGAAACCCAGUGUGAUUCGUCACACUAUCAUUAACUGAAUCCAUAGGUUAAUGAGGCGAACCGGGGGAACUGAAACAUCUAAGUACCCCGAGGAAAAGAAAUCAACCGAGAUUCCCCCAGUAGCGGCGAGCGAACGGGGAGGAGCCCAGAGCCUGAAUCAGUGUGUGUGUUAGUGGAAGCGUCUGGAAAGGCGCGCGAUACAGGGUGACAGCCCCGUACACAAAAAUGCACAUGCUGUGAGCUCGAUGAGUAGGGCGGGACACGUGGUAUCCUGUCUGAAUAUGGGGGGACCAUCCUCCAAGGCUAAAUACUCCUGACUGACCGAUAGUGAACCAGUACCGUGAGGGAAAGGCGAAAAGAACCCCGGCGAGGGGAGUGAAAAAGAACCUGAAACCGUGUACGUACAAGCAGUGGGAGCACAGAGCAAUCUGUGUGACUGCGUACCUUUUGUAUAAUGGGUCAGCGACUUAUAUUCUGUAGCAAGGUUAACCGAAUAGGGGAGCCGAAGGGAAACCGAGUCUUAACUGGGCGUUAAGUUGCAGGGUAUAGACCCGAAACCCGGUGAUCUAGCCAUGGGCAGGUUGAAGGUUGGGUAACACUAACUGGAGGACCGAACCGACUAAUGUUGAAAAAUUAGCGGAUGACUUGUGGCUGGGGGUGAAAGGCCAAUCAAACCGGGAGAUAGCUGGUUCUCCCCGAAAGCUAUUUAGGUAGCGCCUCGUGAAUUCAUCUCCGGGGGUAGAGCACUGUUUCGGCAAGGGGGUCAUCCCGACUUACCAACCCGAUGCAAACUGCGAAUACCGGAGAAUGUUAUCACGGGAGACACACGGCGGGUGCUAACGUCCGUCGUGAAGAGGGAAACAACCCAGACCGCCAGCUAAGGUCCCAAAGUCAUGGUUAAGUGGGAAACGAUGUGGGAAGGCCCAGACAGCCAGGAUGUUGGCUUAGAAGCAGCCAUCAUUUAAAGAAAGCGUAAUAGCUCACUGGUCGAGUCGGCCUGCGCGGAAGAUGUAACGGGGCUAAACCAUGCACCGAAGCUGCGGCAGCGACGCUUAUGCGUUGUUGGGUAGGGGAGCGUUCUGUAAGCCUGCGAAGGUGUGCUGUGAGGCAUGCUGGAGGUAUCAGAAGUGCGAAUGCUGACAUAAGUAACGAUAAAGCGGGUGAAAAGCCCGCUCGCCGGAAGACCAAGGGUUCCUGUCCAACGUUAAUCGGGGCAGGGUGAGUCGACCCCUAAGGCGAGGCCGAAAGGCGUAGUCGAUGGGAAACAGGUUAAUAUUCCUGUACUUGGUGUUACUGCGAAGGGGGGACGGAGAAGGCUAUGUUGGCCGGGCGACGGUUGUCCCGGUUUAAGCGUGUAGGCUGGUUUUCCAGGCAAAUCCGGAAAAUCAAGGCUGAGGCGUGAUGACGAGGCACUACGGUGCUGAAGCAACAAAUGCCCUGCUUCCAGGAAAAGCCUCUAAGCAUCAGGUAACAUCAAAUCGUACCCCAAACCGACACAGGUGGUCAGGUAGAGAAUACCAAGGCGCUUGAGAGAACUCGGGUGAAGGAACUAGGCAAAAUGGUGCCGUAACUUCGGGAGAAGGCACGCUGAUAUGUAGGUGAAGUCCCUCGCGGAUGGAGCUGAAAUCAGUCGAAGAUACCAGCUGGCUGCAACUGUUUAUUAAAAACACAGCACUGUGCAAACACGAAAGUGGACGUAUACGGUGUGACGCCUGCCCGGUGCCGGAAGGUUAAUUGAUGGGGUUAGCGCAAGCGAAGCUCUUGAUCGAAGCCCCGGUAAACGGCGGCCGUAACUAUAACGGUCCUAAGGUAGCGAAAUUCCUUGUCGGGUAAGUUCCGACCUGCACGAAUGGCGUAAUGAUGGCCAGGCUGUCUCCACCCGAGACUCAGUGAAAUUGAACUCGCUGUGAAGAUGCAGUGUACCCGCGGCAAGACGGAAAGACCCCGUGAACCUUUACUAUAGCUUGACACUGAACAUUGAGCCUUGAUGUGUAGGAUAGGUGGGAGGCUUUGAAGUGUGGACGCCAGUCUGCAUGGAGCCGACCUUGAAAUACCACCCUUUAAUGUUUGAUGUUCUAACGUUGACCCGUGAUCCGGGUUGCGGACAGUGUCUGGUGGGUAGUUUGACUGGGGCGGUCUCCUCCUAAAGAGUAACGGAGGAGCACGAAGGUUGGCUAAUCCUGGUCGGACAUCAGGAGGUUAGUGCAAUGGCAUAAGCCAGCUUGACUGCGAGCGUGACGGCGCGAGCAGGUGCGAAAGCAGGUCAUAGUGAUCCGGUGGUUCUGAAUGGAAGGGCCAUCGCUCAACGGAUAAAAGGUACUCCGGGGAUAACAGGCUGAUACCGCCCAAGAGUUCAUAUCGACGGCGGUGUUUGGCACCUCGAUGUCGGCUCAUCACAUCCUGGGGCUGAAGUAGGUCCCAAGGGUAUGGCUGUUCGCCAUUUAAAGUGGUACGCGAGCUGGGUUUAGAACGUCGUGAGACAGUUCGGUCCCUAUCUGCCGUGGGCGCUGGAGAACUGAGGGGGGCUGCUCCUAGUACGAGAGGACCGGAGUGGACGCAUCACUGGUGUUCGGGUUGUCAUGCCAAUGGCACUGCCCGGUAGCUAAAUGCGGAAGAGAUAAGUGCUGAAAGCAUCUAAGCACGAAACUUGCCCCGAGAUGAGUUCUCCCUGACUCCUUGAGAGUCCUGAAGGAACGUUGAAGACGACGACGUUGAUAGGCCGGGUGUGUAAGCGCAGCGAUGCGUUGAGCUAACCGGUACUAAUGAACCGUGAGGCUUAACCUU